This 127-nucleotide non-coding RNA is filed under the name Tetraselmis sp. GSL018. The record is from RNAcentral. Lineage: Eukaryota; Viridiplantae; Chlorophyta; Chlorodendrophyceae; Chlorodendrales; Chlorodendraceae.
GAGGAUGUUGGCGGUUCCCCUCAGCUGGUCGGGGGGGCUGACCCGCUGAUGACACUGCAAGACAAUCAGAUAGGCUGAGCUGAGCGCUCCCCAGAAAAUGCAAACCCAGGGGAGAGAGUGGCGAUGU